Molecule: ribosomal RNA, 460 nt
Filed under: uncultured Chitinophagaceae bacterium
Lineage: Bacteria; Pseudomonadati; Bacteroidota; Chitinophagia; Chitinophagales; Chitinophagaceae
Description: bacterial SSU rRNA
Rfam family: Bacterial small subunit ribosomal RNA
Source: RNAcentral
CCUACGGGGGGCUGCAGUGAGGAAUAUUGGUCAAUGGACGAAACUCUGAACCAGCCAUGCCGCGUGGAGGAUGAAGGUCCUCUGGAUUGUAAACUCCUUUUAUAAAAGAAGAAACCCCAUUUUUCUAAAUGGGUUGACGGUACUUUAUGAAUAAGCACCGGCUAACUCCGUGCCAGCAGCCGCGGUAAUACGGAGGGUGCAAGCGUUAUCCGGAUUCACUGGGUUUAAAGGGAGCGUAGGUGGGUUGGUAAGUCAGUGGUGAAAUCUCCGAGCUUAACUUGGAAACUGCCAUUGAUACUAUCGAUCUUGAAUACUGUGGAGGUAAGCGGAAUAUAUCAUGUAGCGGUGAAAUGCUUAGAUAUGAUAUAGAACACCAAUAGCGAAGGCAGCUUACUACGCAGUUAUUGACACUGAGGCUCGAAAGCGUGGGGAUCAAACAGGCUUAGAUACCCCGGUAGUC